Molecule: RNA transcript, 1087 nt
Organism: Mus musculus (house mouse)
Lineage: Eukaryota; Metazoa; Chordata; Mammalia; Rodentia; Muridae
Gene: Sra1
Gene name: steroid receptor RNA activator 1
Exons: 4
Source: RefSeq, marked validated
GAAAUGAUGCGCUGCCCCGCUGGCGGUGCGGAAGUGGAGAUGGCGGAGCUGUACGUGAAGCCCGGUGAGCACGGCCGGCGGGCUGGUGGUACUCGUCCUCUCCCGUCCCCUCAACCCCAGUGUAUCCUCCGUUAGUCUGUUGGGCUCCGGGCCUCGUUUCACACACUUCCUCGCCUUCGCAGGCAACAAGGAACGCGGCUGGAACGACCCGCCACAAUUCUCCUACGGGCUCCAGACUCAGACUGGUGGACCCAAACGCACUCCCCUUACUAAGAGGGUCGCGGCCCCACAGGAUGGAUCCCCUAGAGCCCCAGAAACUUCUGGACCACCUCCAGUGGAUCAUCCACCUCCUUCAAGUAAGGCUUCCAGGCCUCCGCCCAUGGGGAGCUGUCCUGCUACUGGUGUGGAGCCCCCAAGUUCCCCAGUCAUUGAGUCUGAAACUCUGAUAGAAGACGUGCUGAGACCUCUGGAACAGGCAUUGGAGGACUGCCAUGGUCACACAAAGAAACAGGUAUGUGAUGAUAUCAGCCGACGCUUGGCGCUGCUUCGAGAACAGUGGGCUGGAGGGAAGUUGUCAAUACCUGUAAAGAAGAGGAUGGCACUGCUAGUGCAAGAACUUUUACAUCACCAGUGGGAUGCAGCAGAUGACAUUCACCGAUCACUCAUGGUUGACCAUGUGACUGAGGUCAGUCAGUGGAUGGUGGGAGUAAAAAGAUUAAUUGCAGAAAAGAAGAGUCUAUCUUCAGAGGAGACCAAAGAAGAGAAAUUUACAGUGGAACCUGAGAACCAGACAAUACCAGGCUUCCAACAGCCAUCAUAAUGCCUGUGGCUCCCCAGACUCACUUCACCUGACUUCCUAUGCCUUAGUGUGGAAGGCUUCUUCUUCCUUUUUACCACCAGGGAGACUAUUGGUCUUGUGGGUCUUGACCAAAGAUCCUAUCUAGACCACUGCAAGAUCACUUGUUAUGUACAUUUCAAUAAACAUCUCAAUAAACAUCUCAAUGGUGGGAAGUGGGUAGGAAAGAUGAGCCAUUCUGAUGUCAGACUGGUUCUUUGUGGUGUCAGCUUCCCUGCUCCAUGGACACUA